This 610-nucleotide ribosomal RNA is filed under the name Salmonella enterica subsp. enterica serovar Litchfield. RNAcentral's name for it is "partial 23S ribosomal RNA". It matches the Rfam family "Bacterial large subunit ribosomal RNA", at positions 579 to 1190 of the family's 2925-position model. The record is from RNAcentral. Lineage: Bacteria; Pseudomonadati; Pseudomonadota; Gammaproteobacteria; Enterobacterales; Enterobacteriaceae.
ACAGGUUUACCUGUGUGACUGCGUACCUUUUGUAUAAUGGGUCAGCGACUUAUAUUCUGUAGCAAGGUUAACCGUAUAGGGGAGCCGAAGGGAAACCGAGUCUUAACCGGGCGUUAAGUUGCAGGGUAUAGACCCGAAACCCGGUGAUCUAGCCAUGGGCAGGUUGAAGGUUGGGUAACACUAACUGGAGGACCGAACCGACUAAUGUUGAAAAAUUAGCGGAUGACCUGUGGCUGGGGGUGAAAGGCCAAUCAAACCGGGAGAUAGCUGGUUCUCCCCGAAAGCUAUUUAGGUAGCGCCUCGUGAAUUCAUCUCCGGGGGUAGAGCACUGUUUCGGCUAGGGGGCCAUCCCGGCUUACCAACCCGAUGCAAACUGCGAAUACCGGAGAAUGUUAUCACGGGAGACACACGGCGGGUGCUAACGUCCGUCGUGAAGAGGGAAACAACCCAGACCGCCAGCUAAGGUCCCAAAGUCAUGGUUAAGUGGGAAACGAUGUGGGAAGGCCCAGACAGCCAGGAUGUUGGCUUAGAAGCAGCCAUCAUUUAAAGAAAGCGUAAUAGCUCACUGGUCGAGUCGGCCUGCGCGGAAGAUGUAACGGGGCUAAACCAU